GGCAGGAGCUCUCUGUUUGCCUGCUUGAAGGUAUGGACUGACAACCCUACCAGCCAAUGCAGCCACUGAAGGCAACUCACCCAGAACUCAAUAUUCUCCUCACUGUACUCAGACUUGAGGAAAGCCCGGAAAGCAGCCAGCCCACCUGCAGAUGGGGUGAAAGCAAUAGGAAGCAGGGUGAAUAGGACAGAAAUGUGAGGCGUGCUGGGGUCAGCAGCAGAGCUGACACUGACCACAGUCUGGGACCAAGGCAGAGCCACUACCUCCAUGUUUUGGGAAAUUGUGGGUCCCUUGAGUUCCCCACACAGCCUGAGGAUGAGAUUUCAUCUGUUCCCAACUUCCUUAGAGCAUGUGCUGCUUUACCAAUAAGGGAUAGUUCAGUGCGAAUGCCAUGGUCUGUUC
Long non-coding RNA from Chelonia mydas (Green sea turtle), 402 nucleotides. RefSeq lists it as uncharacterized. NCBI's taxonomy places the organism in Eukaryota, Metazoa, Chordata, Testudines, Cheloniidae. The transcript is spliced from 3 exons. The record is from RefSeq and is a predicted model, not a curated record.